This is a long non-coding RNA of Drosophila montana, 424 nucleotides long. RefSeq lists it as uncharacterized. The transcript has 3 exons. Lineage: Eukaryota; Metazoa; Arthropoda; Insecta; Diptera; Drosophilidae. The record is from RefSeq and is a predicted model, not a curated record.
UUAGUAACUUGUCCAGAGAACAGAUACCAAAGUAACACUUGAAUUUACUAGAAACUAAUGAUUGCAUGAUUUAUAUUAUAAUUCUUAAAUUUCUAUGAAAAACUACACCACAAUGAAAAGUGAAAGAGUUUUUUGGCUGUGGACAGCGGCUCUGUUGUUAUUGUGUAUUCCAAAUAAAGCUGAUUUGGAAAUUGAUAUUCUGAAAUAUCAUAUGUUAAGACAAAACCAUGGUUACCCCAACCUUAAUCUGGAUCGCGAUCCAAGCGCUGAAUGUAAAACAUAUGCCAAUGAGCUGGUAAUACAAGAUUCAUUGGAACGCUCAAAGUCAAUAGGCAGCAUAUGGGAAAAAUAUAUGCAUCACACCAAAAAAAAAGGACUUCUUGUACAGGAAAGUUGUACAGUGAAAGCACCUGCUAGCGAACAU